This 253-nucleotide ribosomal RNA is filed under the name uncultured bacterium. Its description in RNAcentral is "partial 16S ribosomal RNA". It matches the Rfam family "Bacterial small subunit ribosomal RNA", at positions 524 to 776 of the family's 1533-position model. The record is from RNAcentral.
UACGGAGGGUGCAAGCGUUAUCCGGAUUCACUGGGUUUAAAGGGUGCGUAGGAGGGCAGGUAAGUCAGUGGUGAAAUCUCCAAGCUUAACUUGGAAACUGCCGUUGAUACUAUCUGUCUUGAAUACCGUGGAGGUGAGCGGAAUAUGUCAUGUAGCGGUGAAGUGCUUAGAUAUGACAUAGAACACCAAUUGCGAAGGCAGCUCGCUACACGAAUAUUGACACUGAGGCACGAAAGCGUGGGGAUCAAACAGG